CUCUGCCUUAGUUUGGGGCAAGGCAAGUUGCAAAGAGCCCCUCUGCCUGAAGAAAGCCUCUGGUGCCAUCAGAGCUAAGGGAGGAGAAAGAACCGUGGAUCCAGGAGGUGGAUGAUAGCAGGAGUUCCUGCCAAUCAAGCCUCUGAUCUCCGCAUCUCAAAAUACCAAUUAGAAAAGUUGUGACUUGAGGUUUGGGGCAGUGAAGCCAGAAGAUUUGGCUGCCCAAAGAUGACAGGCUAUGAUGCCAAACUGGGAGUGGUGGCAAAGAGCUUGAUGGCUGCUGGACUUGGAAGAAACAUGGCAAUGACCCUCAUAAAUCAGGACUAAAAAUACUCAGCCGCAUUGAGAUGGAGGGUGCCUUUGUGUGUCCUGACAUCCAGCUAUUUGUGAGAUGGAUGACAAAAGCAGGAGAAAGAUACAGCGUUCCCCCUCAAAACAGGGAAAAUAUUGCUUCGAUCACCUGCAGAUGUUCAUUUGAUAAAACCCAACAAGUAUACAACUAAAAAGCUCCUUUUUAGUACUACUGAAAAUAACAGCUAUCCUGCACAGAUGCAUCUUCAAAGAAAAGCUGCAGCCCUUCUCAAAGAUAAUGGCUGAUUUUCUGAUGCUGUUUCCCUUUUUUGUUCUUUUGCAAUCAGAAUGUUGAAGAUGUUGUACCAAUACCUGUAUCAACCCUUCAUGGAACUGCCCUCUUAAUCUUUAAUUUCUAUUUCUAUAUUUACCCAUGUGAAACUGUUAGUGCUAUUUUACAGAAAGACUGAUGAGAGUCAUAUUUAUUCAGAAGUUGGUCUUCCUGAAUUCAGAGGAAAUGGGGCUUGAUUAAGCUGUCUGUUCAUGAGAUUUCUCCAAUAAUGUUUUUCUGGAUUGUCACAGCAAGUUUGGAUUCCAUCGAGGAUCCAAGAAUGAAUUGGGAAAUGCAAUAAAAUGGAUGACUUAAAGCUGUUCAUGUGGUAUUAACUUGCUCAGUCUGCAAGUGGGACUCUGAACUCAAUGACUAAGUUUUUCAAGCUGAACAGAGGUGGUAGUCACAGAAAAGAGACUUAAGGGAAUGAAUGGAAAUAUGACUAGCUGAGUAUUAUGGAAGGCCAAGAGGGAGUGAAACAUACCCUACUGAUAAUGGCCCCUUUUAGGAAAUGCUUGCAGUUUCUCAGAUAUGCCCGUGAGGCCUAGCAACUUGCCUAGCAACUUUAAAUGAAGUCAGCUCACACAAUUGUCUCAAGCUGUAGUAAACACAUUGCUUCCCUGCAUGCCUCCAACAACACUUCUCUGAAGUGGUAAGUUUCACACCUUGGGGCAAUUAAAUUAUCAUAUGAUAAGGUGGGCCCUUCUGACUACUCCAAGGGAAAAGGGGAAAA
Long non-coding RNA from Candoia aspera, 1355 nucleotides. RefSeq lists it as uncharacterized. NCBI's taxonomy places the organism in Eukaryota, Metazoa, Chordata, Lepidosauria, Squamata, Candoiidae. The record is from RefSeq and is a predicted model, not a curated record. The transcript is spliced from 2 exons.